This 745-nucleotide long non-coding RNA is filed under the name Pan paniscus (pygmy chimpanzee). RNAcentral describes it as "lncRNA (ENSPPAG00000045572.1)". Lineage: Eukaryota; Metazoa; Chordata; Mammalia; Primates; Hominidae. The record is from RNAcentral.
CACCAGCUAAUCCUCCUCUAGUGCUUAUCUCUCAAGCACAGUUCUAAGUUUGUACAUAUAUUUGAAAUCUAUGACAAAUUCUGUAAGUUUGACACUGUUAUCAUCAUGCUCAUAUUCAGGUGGAAAGACUAAGGUGCAGAAGCUAAGCACCUGCCUGAGUUUCCUACAGGUAAGUGGAAAAGAGGGGGCCAACCCCAGAGCUUGAACCUUUCGCUGCUAUGCCACACUGGGUUUGAAGGGUAGUUUUCUUGAGAAUAGAGGGGACACAGUGAUUGGACAGUGAUGCUCUGCUGCCAUAGGCCAGGAAUUCUGUUUCAUUAUGACUCAGGCACAUCACCUUGUGGUUUCUUUAUACAGAGAUCAGCUUCCCUGAUGUAGUUGGAGAAGAAAUGGACAUAAGAGGAACAAGGUCCAGUGUGUCAUCCCACUUCUUACUCUGAUCAUUCUCAUGUUCAUCUCUAAGUUUCUUGAGGAUGCAGUCUGGUGAUCUUGUGUCUAGGUUGAAGACUCCCAGAACUGUCUUGAUUGCAGUGAGAGCUGAGGCCUGACGGGGUGAAAUAUCCAACUGUAGCAGUGGAGCAUACAUUGCAUGAAAAAAGUUUCAAAUACUUUUCAAAGCCGUGGACAACUUCAUAAAGUGGAUUUGUGCAGCAACCAGAACAGCCCUAUCUAUGUUCUCAAUGCUGAAAUCAUCCUGGGAAAUCUACCUGAAGAAGCUGGCAGGACACCUCAUCUGCAUUCUUAG